Molecule: ribosomal RNA, 198 nt
Filed under: uncultured bacterium
Lineage: Bacteria
Description: partial 16S ribosomal RNA
Rfam family: Bacterial small subunit ribosomal RNA
Source: RNAcentral
ACGCUCGACACCUACGAGGCAGCAGUCGGGAAUAUUGCGCAAUGGAGGAAACUCUGACGCAGUGACGCCGCGUAUAGGAAGAAGGUUUUCGGAUUGUAAACUAUUGUCGUUAGGGAAGAAAAAAAGACAGUACCUAAGGAGGAAGCUCCGGCUAACUACGUGCCANAGCCGCGGUAAUCUGAGCGGGCGUGGCAAGGC